GUCGUCAGCUCGUGUCGUGAGAUGUUGGGUUAAGUCCCGCAACGAGCGCAACCCUUGAUCCGUGUUACCAGCGCGUGAAGGCGGGGACUCACCGGUGACUGCCGUCGUAAGACGGAGGAAGGCGGGGAUGACGUCAAAUCAUCAUGCCCCUUAUGUCCUGGGCGACACACGUGCUACAAUGGGCGGCACAACGGGACGCGAGAGAGCAAUCUGGAGCCAACCCCUGAAAACCGCUCGUAGUUCGGAUUGCAGGCUGCAACUCGCCUGCAUGAAGCCGGAAUUGCUAGUAAUCGCGGAUCAGCAUGCCGCGGUGAAUCCGUUCCCGGGCCUUGUACACACCGCCCGUCACACCACGAGAGUCGACAACACCCGAAGUCGGUGGGGUAACCCGCAAGGGGGCCAGCCGCCGAAGGUGGGGCCGAUGAUUGGGGUGAAGUCGUAACAAGGUAGC
Molecule: ribosomal RNA, 451 nt
Filed under: uncultured bacterium
Lineage: Bacteria
Description: bacterial SSU rRNA
Rfam family: Bacterial small subunit ribosomal RNA
Source: RNAcentral